AUACUAUAGAAGGCAGCUCGCGAGCGUAUCUAGUCUGCUAUAUACAUCUGUGGUCGGCACGUGUGGUUGCAUCUCUGGCUGCUGUUGAUCUUGUUUUUGGAGUAAAACACGAUGCACAAUGAGGGACGUCUGCAGAGACUGAGAAAGAGUCUCACCACAUCCUGACAUGAGGAAAAAGACUUGAUUGAAGACUACAAUGAGAAAAACUAUCAGACAGCAGACGGCUGCAUUCAAGGUGAGCUCUGAACAUUUGAUCUGGAACAGGAAUUCAAUAACGGCAGCAUGAGCUUCAUUUCAGUCUGUAGCUGCUGAAUUCAUGGAUGAAUCAUCUGGCACUAGAGAGGAAGACCAUCAAACAUCCACGUCAGCUGAUGGAGGUCCAAGAGUCUCACCCAACAAACAACCUACAGAGUGAAGACCUUGAAUCUG
Molecule: long non-coding RNA, 429 nt
Organism: Amphiprion ocellaris (clown anemonefish)
Lineage: Eukaryota; Metazoa; Chordata; Actinopteri; Pomacentridae
Source: Ensembl